This 2614-nucleotide long non-coding RNA is filed under the name Sus scrofa (pig). RNAcentral describes it as "lncRNA (ENSSSCG00005037931.1)". Lineage: Eukaryota; Metazoa; Chordata; Mammalia; Artiodactyla; Suidae. The record is from RNAcentral.
CUAAAAUAAAACUUCUAAAAAGUGACUGCAACAAGUAAACCUUCUCCUGAGAAAGUACAUGCACAGAUAGAAGACACUUGCCAAGUCCAGGCAUUUUUAUUGUGUAGAUUGAAAUACCAGUACACUAUUCUGAAUUUUUAUAUAAGAUGAGGUUGGGAAGGUGUACUAGUAUAUAAUUUAUCUUAAUUUUUCUAACUUUUUAUGGAUAAUCUUUCUAUUCAUAUCACAUAAAGAAAUGCGUUGAAGCAUUUUGUAUCUGUUUUGAUUUAGUACCCUUGCCUUUUUCAUCAAAGGAAUUUUUCAAAUCAUUCACUCUAACAUUAGUCUCAUAUUUUCACUGUGAUAAUGAAUACUUGAAAUAGUUUUGUAAGGCUGUCAUUUAGUUCAGUAUUUAGUGAAAGGUCAGCUACUCUUAUUAGGAGAAAAUAGUUUAUUGGCCUUCUUUCCUAGUAAGUAUAAUUUCUUGCAGAAGCAGAAUUUUAAUGUCAGCGUCACAGCUCAUCUUCUACUCUACCGAUCUGACAUCUGAAGUCUGCUCAGUGCUACACAGUUUCAUCACUUCAGAGAUGUGCAUCUCUUUUGGAAUUAGUGAUUUGGUGCACAACAUUCAGAAAUUCUACCUUCGGUCUUAAAACAGCUCCAAGGAUGUAGAUCCAGCCUGGAAGAGGGUGUGUUCUGCUCUCUACAUGGCCCUGGUCAGGAAGCACAUUUUAAUUUAGAAUCCUAAGUCCAAACCCUUAGCAAACCCUUGUUACCAAACAGACCACUUACAAGUCGAACAAAAUUUAUCUAAGCAAUCCAGUACUCUCUUAUAUCUAAAGGCAGUCUGAUCUCUGCCCUUUAAAUCCACCGUACUUAUUCUUAUGCCUGAAAUUUAUCACUGCAACCCCAUUUUAACCCAAAGUGUUCAGGUUAGAGACACCUGACUCUUUGAAGGGGAAACACUCCAUUAGGUCCAGUGAGGGGACCUCCAAUCCAACAUGAGUGCGUUUUAGUUUUGUGCUCCACCUGCAUCAGGGCCACUGGCUGAUAGUGCAGUGCUCUAAUCUGACUUGCCUCCACACACCAAAGUCAGAAGCAGCAAUUCUUUUUUUUUUUUUCUUAGUUUUUACUGUUUCCUGAUCUCCAGCACAAAACUGAAUGAACAAAUCUACAGUUAACCGAAAAUGCCACUUAUAACUUGGCAGAUUAAAUGACUCAUUGCUUGUAAACCUUGCCAGUCCCACUGAACAGGUAUCGUCCCUACCACAGAGCAGAAGCCAAAAGGUCUUAUUUUAAAAGCUGGAAAUGACUGCACUUCAGCAAUAGCAAGCCACAGGUUGGGAACAUGAAAAUAUGUAGCAGGCCAUGCCUGAAAUUGGACCUUCCUCACAUUAGUGAAAGUGGCCUGAGACCCUGGAGGAAGAGGGGAAAAUGACAGCCUCAGAAGCUCCUUUGUGAUGAAUUACCAACACUAAGCCAGAAAUCAUGACUAGUUAAAAUACGUGGUUCUCAUCUCACUAAAUGGGAGAGGCAGGCAGUGGUAUGAGUAACCUUACUUUGAAGACAAAGCUUGUUCUGGUAGAACGGUCCAGCUGAGAAAUGCCUUAGCCUCUUCCUCAAACUGAGGCUCUCCAUCUGUAACUGAAAUACAAGAUAAAUAUUUCUUUUGGCUGUAUGUCCUCUUUAAAAAAGAACUGCCUCCUGUUUCUUUAGUAACAAUUUUUAAGAAAUUGUUAUAUUGGAUUUUGCUAUAGAAGAAUGAGCACUGGGGUUCAGCAUCUGGUAUAAUUUAUUUCCACAUGUUCUGUUAGCUCCGUCAGAGCCCAUGAAUAUUUGAUGUGAAGAUGUUGGGUGAUUUUCUUUUUUCCCAUCUCAUUUUGGUAUAUCUUUACUCUGAACACAUAUGCAUGCUCUUCUUAACCUCUAGUCUGAAAUAAUUACAGAGGAGUUUGGUUGUUUUUUUUGUUUUGUUUUGUUUUGUUUUUAAUGGAGGGCAAAAUGCUUGUUAGCAACCAAAAAAAAUCAAAGCUGAACAAGCUGCUAAAGUAGGUUUGUGGUGAAAAAGUUGCAAAAUAUAAUUAACUGCUACUGCUUUCCAAGUAAUUGUAUUACUAGUUCCUGUAUAAAAGAAUGAUUAUUGCUUUCCUUGUAAAAAUAAAAUUUUCCUGCAGUACAAUUAAGUAUCGAUUUCUCAGAAACUGUCCCUAUUAAUUUUUCUUUUCACAUUAUUUCCAUAUGUUGUCCAAAACGAAAAUUAUUGAUGUGUUCAAUCUGUGAGAUUGCAUAUUCCUGGUAAAAUAUUUUUGUACAUAUAAGGAAAUAAAUAUUUAAUAUUGGGAAAAUGUGUUUCAUUUAUAGGUAGAACUAAAGCUUAGAGUACAGAAGGUAUCAGAUUAGCUUUGGCAAUUUUUAACUAUUUUUUAACUUUUUUUAAAAAUUGUAAUUGAUUUAAAAUGUCAUGCUAGUUUCAGGCAUACAGCACAGUGAAUAUAUAUGUGUGUAUAUAUAUAUAUGAGAUAUAUCACUGAUAUAUCUAUGUCACACACACAUACACUUUUUGAGAUUCUUUUCUCUUAUAGGUUAUUACAAAAUAUUGAGGCAAUUUUUUUUCAAUGCUACUAGUCUUUGUUAA